This 461-nucleotide ribosomal RNA is filed under the name uncultured bacterium. RNAcentral's name for it is "bacterial SSU rRNA". It matches the Rfam family "Bacterial small subunit ribosomal RNA", at positions 29 to 506 of the family's 1533-position model. The record is from RNAcentral.
AUGAACGCUGGCGGCGUGUUUAAGGCAUGCAAGUCGAGCGACGUAUUCCCGCAAGGGAAUUACGAGCGGCAAACGGGUGAGUAACACAUUGGUAACCUACCUCCAAGUCGAGGACAGCUCGCCGAAAGGCGAAUUAAUACUCGAUGGCAAUGCGGGGACAUAAGUCAUUCGCAUUUAAAGAUUUAUUGCUUGGAGAGGGGCCUAUGUCUGAUUAGCUAGUUGGCGGGGUAAAAGCCCACCAAGGCGAUGAUCAGUAGCAGGCGUGAGAGCGUGACCUGCCUCACUGGGACUGAGACACUGCCCAGACACCUACGGGUGGCUGCAGUCAAGAAUCUUCCCCAAUGGACGAAAGUCUGAGGGAGCGACGCCGCGUGCAGGAUUAAGGCCUUCGGGUCGUAAACUGCUUUUAUAUGGGACGAAUUCGUGACGGUACCAUAUGAAUAAGAGGUUGCUAACUCUGU